This 392-nucleotide ribosomal RNA is filed under the name uncultured bacterium. RNAcentral describes it as "partial 16S ribosomal RNA". It matches the Rfam family "Bacterial small subunit ribosomal RNA", at positions 523 to 918 of the family's 1533-position model. The record is from RNAcentral.
AUACGGAGGAUCCGAGCGUUAUCCGGAUUUAUUGGGUUUAAAGGGUGCGCAGGCGGCCAUUUAAGUCAGCGGUUAAAUCGUGGGGCUCAACCCCAUUCUGCCGUUGAUACUGGGUGGCUUGAUUGCGGUCGAGGUUGGCGGAAUUCGUUGUGUAGCGGGGAAAUGCAUAGAUAUGACGAAGAACACCGAUUGCGUAGGCAGCUGACCAGAUCGCAAAUGACGCUCAUGCACGAAAGUGCGGGGAUCGAACAGGAUUAGAUACCCUGGUAGUCCGCACAGUAAACGAUGAAUACUUGUUUUCGGCGAUAUAAUGUCGGAGGCAAAGCGAAAGCGAUAAGUAUUCCACCUGGGGAGUACGCCGGCAACGGUGAAACUUAAAGGAAUUGGCGGGG